Molecule: ribosomal RNA, 484 nt
Filed under: uncultured bacterium
Lineage: Bacteria
Description: partial 16S ribosomal RNA
Rfam family: Bacterial small subunit ribosomal RNA
Source: RNAcentral
AUUGAACGCUGGCGGCAGGCCUAACACAUGCAAGUCGAGCGGAAGAAGGGAGCUUGCGCCUGGAUUCAGCGGCGGACGGGUGAGUAAUGCCUAGGAAUCUGCCUGGUAGUGGGGGAUAACGUCCGCAAACGGGCGCUAAUACCGCAUACGUCCUGAUGCAGAAAGUGGGGGAGCUUCGGACCUCACGCUAUCAGAUGAGCCUAGGUCGGAUUAGCUAGUUGGUGGGGUAAAGGCCUACCUAGGCGACGAUCCGUAACUGGUCUGAGAGGAUGAUCAGUCACACUGGAACUGAGACACGGUCCAGACUCCUACGGGAGGCAGCAGUCGGCAACAUUGGACAAUGGGCGAAAGCCUGAUCCAGCCAUGCCGCGUGUGUGACGAAGGUCUUCCGAUUGUAAAGCACUUUUAGUUGGGAGGAAGGGCAGUAAGUUAAUACCUUGCUGUUUUGACGUUACCAACAGAAUAAGCACCGGCUAACUUUGUG